Molecule: transfer RNA, 58 nt
Filed under: Marmota marmota marmota (Alpine marmot)
Lineage: Eukaryota; Metazoa; Chordata; Mammalia; Rodentia; Sciuridae
Also listed under: 3 other names
Rfam family: tRNA
About the family: Transfer RNA (tRNA) molecules are approximately 80 nucleotides in length. Their secondary structure includes four short double-helical elements and three loops (D, anti-codon, and T loops). Further hydrogen bonds mediate the characteristic L-shaped molecular structure. tRNAs have two regions of fundamental functional importance: the anti-codon, which is responsible for specific mRNA codon recognition, and the 3' end, to which the tRNAs corresponding amino acid is attached (by aminoacyl-tRNA synthetases). tRNAs cope with the degeneracy of the genetic code in two manners: having more than one tRNA (with a specific anti-codon) for a particular amino acid; and 'wobble' base-pairing, i.e. permitting non-standard base-pairing at the 3rd anti-codon position.
Source: Rfam by way of RNAcentral
UAGCUCAGUUGGUAGAGUGCUUGCCUUGUAUGCACAAGGCCCUGGGUUCAAUUCCCAG